CCCGUUCCCUGAAUUGCAGUAAUUCCUCCUUGACAGGAUUGAUGGGGUGAAGUUCACUCAAUGUAGCCCCUGCCUCAGGAGAAUACAAGCAGCAUAAUAUCAGUCCUCAACCCUCUGAAAGUCUCAACAGCCCAAGACAAUGUUGGACACUUCCUUCUUCAAACUCAAUCUUCCAGGAUGGGUUUAAACACAUGUUGAUGCCACUCAAAUUGAAAUUUCCAGCCUCACCCUUCCUGAAGAGCUCCAGGCUCUGAGAAUUGUCUGGAAACUCCAUGGAACAAGGCCUCAUCUGUUUCACCCUUUACCGCACCUCCAGCACCUAGAACAAUGCCAACACGUGGUAGGAGAUCAACAAGUAUUCGUUGAAUGAAUAAACUUUACAUUUCUAUAAUUCUCUUCCAAAAAACAGUUUAUUUUUAAAAAGCUCAACAUUCAAAUACCAACUAAGUAAAGAGACCUAUUAAAGAUGCAAUUAUUUAAAUUACAAGGUGGACUCAUUGAUGUAGGA
Molecule: long non-coding RNA, 508 nt
Filed under: Papio anubis (olive baboon)
Lineage: Eukaryota; Metazoa; Chordata; Mammalia; Primates; Cercopithecidae
Description: lncRNA (ENSPANG00000037962.1)
Source: RNAcentral